This 373-nucleotide ribosomal RNA is filed under the name uncultured organism. RNAcentral's name for it is "partial 16S ribosomal RNA". It matches the Rfam family "Bacterial small subunit ribosomal RNA", at positions 527 to 896 of the family's 1533-position model. The record is from RNAcentral.
GUAGGUGGCAAGCGUUGUCCGGAAUUAUUGGGCGUAAAGCGCGCGCAGGCGGUCCUUUAAGUCUGAUGUGAAAGCCCACGGCUCAACCGUGGAGGGUCAUUGGAAACUGGGGGACUUGAGUACAGAAGAGGAAAGCGGAAUUCCGAGUGUAGCGGUGAAAUGCGUAGAGAUUUGGAGGAACACCAGUGGCGAAGGCGGCUUUCUGGUCUGUAACUGACGCUGAGGCGCGAAAGCGUGGGGAGCAAACAGGGAGUAGAUACCCUGGUAGUCCACGCCGUAAACGAUGAGUGCUAAGUGUUAGGGGGUUUCCCGCCCCUUAGUGCUGCAGCUAACGCAUUAAGCACUCCGCCUGGGGAGUACGGCCGCAAGGCUG